CCUACGGGUGGCAGCAGUAGGGAAUUUUGCGCAAUGGGGGAAACCCUGACGCAGCAACGCCGCGUGAUCGAUGAAGCCCUUCGGGGUGUAAAGAUCUGUCAGUGGGGACGAAAACUGACGGUACCCACAGAGGAAGCACCGGCUAACUGCGUGCCAGCAGCCGCGGUAAUACGGGGGGUGCAAGCGUUGUCCGGAUUCAUUGGGCGUAAAGAGUUCGUAGGUGGAAUGUUAAGUCUGGUGUUAAUGGUGGAAGCUGAACUGGAGUAGGGCACUGUAUACUGGCGAGCUCGAGUGCGGAAGAGGUAGGGGGAAUGCAUGGUGUAGCGGUGAAAUGCGUAGAUAUCAGGAGGAACAUCGGUUGCGUAAGCGCUUUACUAGGCCAUAAUUGACGCUGAGGAACGAAAGCCGGGGUAGCAAAUGGGAUUAGAUACCCCUGUAGUC
RNAcentral lists this ribosomal RNA (441 nucleotides) under uncultured bacterium. RNAcentral's name for it is "partial 16S ribosomal RNA". It matches the Rfam family "Bacterial small subunit ribosomal RNA", at positions 338 to 795 of the family's 1533-position model. The record is from RNAcentral.